UCGGGGUUACACUGCCCAUCCGCUAUUUUCAGCUUUCCCUGGAUGCCCAUGGUUCUGCACUUUCCCUUCAUUCAAAUGGAACCGAACACAAGCUCCCUGCCGGCCGUUCGCAUGAACCAAACCUUUGAAUGGUCCUCAUUGGCAUUUAACCGCAACCGCUAAUUUCGACACAAGGACUUCGUGGGUCCCCGGUCACCUCUGCGGUACUUAGACAUGAAUGUUAUGGAACUGCUUU
Molecule: non-coding RNA, 235 nt
Organism: Pelobates cultripes (western spadefoot toad)
Lineage: Eukaryota; Metazoa; Chordata; Amphibia; Anura; Pelobatidae
Source: the annotation of a GenBank genome assembly